CUGAAGUAACAAAUGCCCUGCUUCCAGGAAAAGCCUCUAAGCAUCAGGUAACAUCAAAUCGUACCCCAAACCGACACAGGUGGUCAGGUAGAGAAUACCAAGGCGCUUGAGAGAACUCGGGUGAAGGAACUAGGCAAAAUGGUGCCGUAACUUCGGGAGAAGGCACGCUGGUGUGUAGGUGAAGUCCCUGCGGAUGGAGCUGAGACCAGUCGAAGAUACCAGCUGGCUGCAACUGUUUAUUAAAAACACAGCACUGUGCAAACACGAAAGUGGACGUAUACGGUGUGACGCCUGCCCGGUGCCGGAAGGUUAAUUGAUGGGGUUAUCCGUAAGGAGAAGCUCUUGAUCGAAGCCCCGGUAAACGGCGGCCGUAACUAUAACGGUCCUAAGGUAGCGAAAUUCCUUGUCGGGUAAGUUCCGACCUGCACGAAUGGCGUAAUGAUGGCCAGGCUGUCUCCACCCGAGACUCAGUGAAAUUGAACUCGCUGUGAAGAUGCAGUGUACCCGCGGCAAGACGGAAAGACCCCGUGAACCUUUACUAUAGCUUGACACUGAACAUUGAGCCUUGAUGUGUAGGAUAGGUGGGAGGCUUUGAAGCGUGGACGCCAGUCUGCGUGGAGCCAACCUUGAAAUACCACCCUUUAAUGUUUGAUGUUCUAACGUGGGCCCCUGACCGGGGUUGCGGACAGUGUCUGGUGGGUAGUUUGACUGGGGCGGUCUCCUCCCAAAGCGUAACGGAGGAGCACGAAGGUUAGCUAAUCCUGGUCGGACAUCAGGAGGUUAGUGCAAUGGCAUAAGCUAGCUUGACUGCGAGCGUGACGGCGCGAGCAGGUGCGAAAGCAGGUCAUAGUGAUCCGGUGGUUCUGAAUGGAAGGGCCAUCGCUCAACGGAUAAAAGGUACUCCGGGGAUAACAGGCUGAUACCGCCCAAGAGUUCAUAUCGACGGCGGUGUUUGGCACCUCGAUGUCGGCUCAUCACAUCCUGGGGCUGAAGUAGGUCCCAAGGGUAUGGCUGUUCGCCAUUUAAAGUGGUACGCGAGCUGGGUUUAGAACGUCGUGAGACAGUUCGGUCCCUAUCUGCCGUGGGCGCUGGAGAAUUGAGGGGGGCUGCUCCUAGUACGAGAGGACCGGAGUGGACGCAUCACUGGUGUUCGGGUUGUCAUGCCAAUGGCACUGCCCGGUAGCUAAAUGCGGAAGAGAUAAGUGCUGAAAGCAUCUAAGCACGAAACUUGCCCCGAGAUGAGUUCUCCCUGAGACUUUAAGUCUCCUGAAGGAACGUUGAAGACGACGACGUUGAUAGGCCGGGUGUGUAAGCGCAGCGAUGCGUUGAGCUAACCGGUACUAAUGAACCGUGAGGCUUAACCUU
RNAcentral lists this ribosomal RNA (1365 nucleotides) under Klebsiella quasipneumoniae. RNAcentral describes it as "partial 23S ribosomal RNA". It matches the Rfam family "Bacterial large subunit ribosomal RNA", at positions 1585 to 2925 of the family's 2925-position model. RNAcentral also lists the same sequence under 1 other name. The record is from RNAcentral. Lineage: Bacteria; Pseudomonadati; Pseudomonadota; Gammaproteobacteria; Enterobacterales; Enterobacteriaceae.